UACGUAGGUGACAAGCGUUGUCCGGAUUUACUGGGCGUAAAGAGCGCGCAGGCGGUCGUUCAAGUCGAGUGUGAAAGCCCCCGGCUCAACUGGGGAGGGUCAUUCGAUACUGAUCGACUCGAAGGCAGGAGAGGGAAGUGGAAUUCCCGGUGUAGUGGUGAAAUGCGUAGAUAUCGGGAGGAACACCAGUGGCGAAGGCGACUUCCUGGCCUGUUCUUGACGCUGAGGCGCGAAAGCUAGGGGAGCGAACGGG
Molecule: ribosomal RNA, 253 nt
Filed under: uncultured bacterium
Lineage: Bacteria
Description: partial 16S ribosomal RNA
Rfam family: Bacterial small subunit ribosomal RNA
Source: RNAcentral